UACGUAGGGAGCAAGCGUUGUUCGGAUUUACUGGGCGUAAAGAGCGCGCAGGCGGUCGUUCAAGUCGCGUGUGAAAGCCCCCGGCUCAACUGGGGAGGGUCACGCGAUACUGAUCGACUCGAAGGCAGGAGAGGGUAGUGGAAUUCCUGGUGUAGCGGUGAAAUGCGCAGAUAUCAGGAAGAACACCCGUGGCGAAGGCGGCUCUCUGGUACGUGACUGACGCUGAGACGCGAAAGCGUGGGGAGCGAACAGG
This 253-nucleotide ribosomal RNA is filed under the name uncultured bacterium. Its description in RNAcentral is "partial 16S ribosomal RNA". It matches the Rfam family "Bacterial small subunit ribosomal RNA", at positions 524 to 776 of the family's 1533-position model. The record is from RNAcentral.